Molecule: long non-coding RNA, 2167 nt
Filed under: Lactuca sativa (garden lettuce)
Lineage: Eukaryota; Viridiplantae; Streptophyta; Magnoliopsida; Asterales; Asteraceae
Description: long non-coding RNA (LSAT_LNC006140)
Source: RNAcentral
UCAUUUAUAACAAUAUAAUAAAAUAAUAAACUUUUGAUUUCAAAGUACAAAGAGGACAAAAUGAUGAAGCUUUUCAUUUUAAUCGCUUGCAAUAAAAAAUGAUAUUUCUCCAUCAGAUGUAAAGUUGAUAAAAAAUAAAGAGGACAAAAGAAGAAAAUAAACUUGGGAGACAAAUAAUUAAAGUGAUAUGCUUCUGUGAUUCUUCAUUCAAUGAUCAGUUUAAUCCAAAAGUCCAUCCCAAUAUUGAAAAUAGUCAACGUACAUCCUGCAAUUUAAAUACAAACUUUCAUAAACCAACCUAACACAAAAUAAGCUAAUCAUACCUCAGAACCUAAUGGAUUUUUAACAUUCAAAGUCACAAAAGACCAAAUUUGUUGAAAAUGUGUUUUUUCAAGAUAUCAAAUAAAGGUUGAUUUAAUGCAUCUUUGUCCAUUUCAAUAAAAAAACCCACAAAAACCUCAAAAGAGAAAUACAUGAACCAGUUGUUCAUUAUGACAAACCAAGAUAACAUGAAAGAAGCUUUGAAUAGACAACUCUAACUCCUUACUGAAUAACAGGAUGCAUCUAUUUUAAAUUACCUCAAAAAGAGAAUGCAUCCAUAACUUCAACAUAUUUCUUUGUCUGAACAUGGCUUGGGAUACGUAGGGAUUCCUUAUACGGAGCUGAUCAAGAGCACGUUAUUUCAAAAAUACUUUACUAAGCAUGGAUAUGUUUAAAGGAUAAACUUGCAAAAAAAAUAUCAAAUUGACAACAAAAGCAACAAAGCUGGGAACCAACAUUGUACAAAAAGACAUAGAUAACUCACUCAAACCUAAAAGGUUCCUAUUAGAAAACAAAAAACAAACCUGGAAACCAACAUCGAACAAAGCCCCUGGUUUCUUUUCUACAAUGAAAAAUCAUCAACACCCACACAUCCAACAUAAAAACAUAUAAAAAGACACGGAAAACUCAAAAUGAACAUCAGGAUAACCCGGAACAAACAAAUUAAAGACACAAACUAUGCCAUCUUUGCAUUAUGUAUUCUAUUUUAUAGCCUUUGCAUUACUUGGUGAUUAUCAUCAAAAUGAUCACAACUACGCCAUCUUUGUUGUGAAGAUAACGAAAGUGAACAAUAAAAUCUUACUAACUUACUAUUUAGAACAUAAUCAGGCUUCAUUUGUUGGAAAGAAAGACCAGGUAAUGGCUGAGAAAAAAAGACAAUCUUUAAGACAUUUGACAAAAAAAAAAUCAAAAUUAACAAAAUUCAUUAUCAACAUAAACAUAAUCUUUAAGAGAUUAGACAAAGAAAAGAAUGAACUAACCCAAAGAGCUUGAUAUGGUUGGAAUUGGGUCUAUUAAUGUUGGGAUUGGUUACUUUGAGAUUAGAAGGAUGGAAUAUUGGAAUUGUCAUCCCCAUGCUUGUUGAAUCGUUUGCAUAUGGAUCAUCCACAAUAUGCUAAGGGCACCUUCACAUCAACCAUUAUUUUCCAUGGAUUUUUACUGUUCCUUUCCUAUCUAUUUACUUCAUCAUUAACCUGUAAAUGGGAGGAAUGGAAAUUGGACACUGGGGUAAAUUUACAGACUUAACGCACCAUGGUAGAAAAGCAAGGUAGAUCCAUCAUACAUCACUUCUUUUUUCCCUGGUUAAGUUUAAGAUGAACAAAUCAGAAAUUGGUGUUUAAAAGGUUGUUAAUAGCCUCAUCUGCAUGCUUUUCUACAUAAUAUAACCUCCAACAAACUAAACCCAUAAAUUAACCAACCCAAAUUGAAGAAUUUAGCAAAAGUCAUGGAUUUGAAUAUUAUUAGGAACGUGUGAUUAGAGUUGAAUGUGUACCUAUUAUCGAGGGUUUAUACUCCCAAAAGAUCGUUGUGGUUUGCUAAGAAUCGAACGAAAAGGUUGACUUCCAGGGCCGCGGCAUUGACCAGAGGGUGGUUGAUCGUGGCAGCGGGAUAGGGUUAGGGUUACUCGUCUUGAUAGAAGGUAGAAGUGGCAGACACCGGUGACGGAAAAGGUGGACUUCCAGGGCAUCGAUUCUGUCUUUGGUGGAGACAGGUGGUGGUACGCUGCUCGUGUGUGAUGUUGCCGGGAGUCAGGGAAGAACACGUUACGUCGUGAGGGUGAAGAGAUAAAGAGAGAAAGAUGAGAUUUGGUUUGAUGGCGGUUGUCGUGUGCGAGAUUAGGGUAAUA